Long non-coding RNA from Gadus morhua (Atlantic cod), 168 nucleotides. RefSeq lists it as uncharacterized. The record is from RefSeq and is a predicted model, not a curated record. The transcript is spliced from 2 exons. Lineage: Eukaryota; Metazoa; Chordata; Actinopteri; Gadiformes; Gadidae.
CCCGUCCGGCCGCUCCGCAGUGGGGACCCCGGUGUCACAUCGUCCGAGAGGGAGGUCGGUGUGUGUGUGUGUGUGUGUGUGUGUGUGUGUGUGUGUGUGUGUGUGUGUGUGUGAGAGUGAGUGUGUGUGUGUGUGUGUGUGUGUGUGUGUGUGUGUGUGUGUGUGUGU